CAGUUAUCGGGUAUCAGCGGGACCAAGCCGCCCGGACACGGCGGUUCACUCGUUUUGCAUGCAAACCGGUGGCCUGGCUCGCAGAAUGUCGUCGCCCUGCCCGACGAUCCAGGUCGGCGCGCCGCGCACCGGGAGAUCGUCGGAGCGUACGCCAACAUCGGCGGAAAAGUGUAACACGUGAUCGGACGUGUUGCAUCAUUUGCAGGAACGUCGGGAAACGUCGGUGUCAUCGGGCCGACGGAAUGUUUGCCAUCGAUGCAGUCUGCGCCGCGCGUGUUUGCGAAAUUCUUGCUCGAUUGUUUGACCGGAAUAAAGGCCCCGUUAAACUCUUUAGAGAGGUCAAACAAUGACGACACUAGGGCCCGGCGGCGCUAAAAUGAGAAACGACGCUGGAUCGGUCGCCCGCGGCCGAAUCGAGGCGUUAACGCUAACUUGUAGAAUAUUAUGGUCGACCGGUUUGUUGUUGCAUUUUAAUUAAUGGAUACAAACGACGCAAUUAGACAGAAAAGUAGCACAUAAUUGCAAUGAAAAUAACUUGAUGUGACUCCGGGAAAUUUUUUCUGGGACGUCGACCAUGUUCAUACGAAACUUUUUAUCGGCCACUGGACGGUUAUGUCAUAUUUUAUAUAAUGUAGUUUUGUAGGUUACGUACUCGGUAAAACAGCAACGCUGGCAUUCUUGAACGUCGCUUCUUGUACAUCACGCGUUUGGUAAUUCUUUUUGAAAGUCACAGCAAAUUUCGGGGGAGAUCUUUUACUUCAUAGUACACGUCCCAAGCUACGUGAAAGUAUUAUUUACAUUUUUCUUUCUUGCAAUUAAGCGAACACGUUGCACUCUGAAACGUUGCAUUGAAGAUGCACCUGUAAAACCGAAGUCGUUUUUUGGUAUUUUCUUGUGGGAAAAUCGACGAGUUGACACGCAACUUGUAUUACCCAUUUGAUGGUCAUGUCACAUGGUAUACAAUGUGUCGUUUUAGGUUACGUUUCCGAACGACAACAGGAGAGCACACUACUAAAAAGAUAAAGAAAAAAAGAUAAUCACUGCCAUAAGGAAAUGCAGAUUUUUCCGAAUCUGUGAAGUGGAAAGUUCCUAAACGCAGAGGUACGUUGCAAGAAGCCCGCAACAAUGUUGAUCACGAAGUAACUGCGCAGAGCAGUAAACCGGAUUUAAUAGCCAGGAAUUAUGGGGCCUUAAAUCAACGAUUUCUUGGCGAACGGUCGGAAAUUCAUAGCUUUUUCGAGGCGGCUGCCGGACGGAUUUGCUUCGAAGUAAGUCAACGGGAUAUGCCUGGAAAGGUUACACUGUAGCGGCGCUGGGUCGAAAUGGACGUUUUCUCUGGCCGGCUGCUGUUCCGCCGGUAUCCUCGGCUCACCGGCGAACGGUGAACGAGCCCUGAGGUGCCCGAACCAAAAAUGAACCGUGACGAUACUUCCUGGUGACAGUGAUCGGUGGUUUGAAGAGCGUCUUUACGCGGACAAAAAUAGAAAGACG
Non-coding RNA from Megalopta genalis, 1491 nucleotides. The record is from RefSeq and is a predicted model, not a curated record. Lineage: Eukaryota; Metazoa; Arthropoda; Insecta; Hymenoptera; Halictidae.